RNAcentral lists this ribosomal RNA (431 nucleotides) under uncultured bacterium. RNAcentral describes it as "partial 16S ribosomal RNA". It matches the Rfam family "Bacterial small subunit ribosomal RNA", at positions 29 to 507 of the family's 1533-position model. The record is from RNAcentral.
AACGAACGCUGGCGGCAGGCUUAACACAUGCAAGUCGAGCGCCCCGCAAGGGGAGCGGCCGACGGGUGAGUAACGCGUGGGAACGUACCUUUUGGUUCGGAACAACUCCGGGAAACUGGAGCUAAUACCGGAUAAGCCCUAACGGGGAAAGAUUUAUCGCCGAAAGAUCGGCCCGCGUCUGAUUAGCUAGUUGGUGAGGUAACGGCUCACCAAGGCGACGAUCAGUAGCUGGUCUGAGAGGAUGAUCAGCCACACUGGGACUGAGACACGGCCCAGACUCCUACGGGAGGCAGCAGUGGGGAAUAUUGGACAAUGGGCGCAAGCCUGAUCCAGCCAUGCCGCGUGAGUGAUAAAGGCCUUAGGGUUGUAAAGCUCUUUUGUCCGGGAAGAUAAUGACUGUACCGGAAGAAUAAGCCCCGGCUAACUUCGUG